UGGGGAAUUUUGGACAAUGGGCGAAAGCCUGAUCCAGCAAUGCCGCGUGUGUGAAGAAGGCCUUCGGGUUGUAAAGCACUUUUGUCCGGAAAGAAAUCCUUGGCUCUAAUACAGUCGGGGGAUGACGGUACCGGAAGAAUAAGCACCGGCUAACUACGUGCCAGCAGCCGCGGUAAUACGUAGGGUGCAAGCGUUAAUCGGAAUUACUGGGCGUAAAGCGUGCGCAGGCGGUUUGCUAAGACCGAUGUGAAAUCCCCGGGCUCAACCUGGGAACUGCAUUGGUGACUGGCAGGCUAGAGUAUGGCAGAGGGGGGUAGAAUUCCACGUGUAGCAGUGAAAUGCGUAGAGAUGUGGAGGAAUACCGAUGGCGAAGGCAGCCCCCUGGGCCAAUACUGACGCUCAUGCACGAAAGCGUGGGGGAGCAAACAGGAUUAGAUACCCUGGUAGUCCACGCCCUAAACGAUGUCAACUAGUUGUUGGGGAUUCAUUUCCUUAGUAACGUAGCUAACGCGUGAAGUUGACCGCCUGGGGAGUACGGUCGCAAAAUUUAAAACUCAAAUGAAUUGACGGGGUCAUAGCUUUUUCC
Molecule: ribosomal RNA, 586 nt
Filed under: uncultured bacterium
Lineage: Bacteria
Description: partial 16S ribosomal RNA
Rfam family: Bacterial small subunit ribosomal RNA
Source: RNAcentral